Long non-coding RNA from Papaver somniferum (opium poppy), 849 nucleotides. RefSeq lists it as uncharacterized. The record is from RefSeq and is a predicted model, not a curated record. Lineage: Eukaryota; Viridiplantae; Streptophyta; Magnoliopsida; Ranunculales; Papaveraceae. The transcript is spliced from 3 exons.
UUUAGCAUCUCCGUCAAAAACAUCAUCCAACAAGAGAAAAUGCUGUAGGAAAGUCUAUGAUUAUUCUUCUCUACGCCGCUCAAAUCGAUUAAUCUCUCAGUCUGAAUCGGUUCCACGAUGAUCUACUAGAUUGAAUGGAACCCAGAUAUCUUCUCUUCAAGGUGGAAUUUUUAAACAGAAAUAAUGGAAAUUGUUUGAAGCGGAAGAGAGAGAACUCGAAGAGAGGAACAAAAUAUCUAAAGAACACACGCAUCUCGGUAAUGCUGGUGAUCUCAACAAGUGGGCGGCGGUGCAUCUACAGUGCUCAAGGUUUCAGAAAGAUGAACCACACAAGAAGAUGAUGAUUCACGAGGCAAUUAACAAACUAGAGAAAACACUCGAGGUGUCAAAUGGAAACGACAAGACACUGUUCUUGUUAGGCGUUGCUCACUCUUCUUUGGGAGAUGAUACGAAAGAAGUUGGCUAUUUUAGCUAUUUUAGAGAAGCACAAAAGAAAAAUCCAGAAGAAAGGCUUUACAAACUUAGGUCGUUACCAGACGACCACACAUGGCUUGCGAUUGGUGCUCUUAUAUGAUUCCGAUUGGUGCUCUGCGGUUGUCAAAAUUAUGUUUAAGAAGUAAGACUUGCUUUGUGUGUUGCCUAAUUAACAGGAAAGGAGGAUGUUCUUCUGCUCUCUUUCUCUGUGACAAAGAGCGGUGGUGGUACUUGCUGCCAGCAAUAGAGAAUUGGAUCUCGAUGGAGCCAUCAAAGGAGUGUUGGCCAAAGGCAAACUCGUAUUAUACAAGGAAAAGCUGGUAGCAGUGGAUUGCAUAACUUGUCAUGCUCCUCAAUAAUGUCUGCAUAACAUGG